This 245-nucleotide ribosomal RNA is filed under the name uncultured bacterium. RNAcentral's name for it is "partial 16S ribosomal RNA". It matches the Rfam family "Bacterial small subunit ribosomal RNA", at positions 107 to 353 of the family's 1533-position model. The record is from RNAcentral.
UGAGUAAUGUCUGGGAAACUGCCUGAUGGAGGGGGAUAACUACUGGAAACGGUAGCUAAUACCGCAUAACGUCGCAAGACCAAAGAGGGGGACCUUCGGGCCUCUUGCCAUCGGAUGUGCCCAGAUGGGAUUAGCUAGUAGGUGAGGUAACGGCUCACCUAGGCGACGAUCCCUAGCUGGUCUGAGAGGAUGACCAGCCACACUGGAACUGAGACACGGUCCAGACUCCUACGGGAGGCAGCAUG